RNAcentral lists this ribosomal RNA (1419 nucleotides) under Streptococcus salivarius. Its description in RNAcentral is "bacterial SSU rRNA". It matches the Rfam family "Bacterial small subunit ribosomal RNA". The record is from RNAcentral. Lineage: Bacteria; Bacillati; Bacillota; Bacilli; Lactobacillales; Streptococcaceae.
GCAAGUAGAACGCUGAGAGAGGAGCUUGCUCUUCUUGGAUGAGUUGCGAACGGGUGAGUAACGCGUAGGUAACCUGCCUUGUAGCGGGGGAUAACUAUUGGAAACGAUAGCUAAUACCGCAUAACAAUGGAUGACACAUGUCAUUUAUUUGAAAGGGGCAAUUGCUCCACUACAAGAUGGACCUGCGUUGUAUUAGCUAGUAGGUGAGGUAACGGCUCACCUAGGCGACGAUACAUAGCCGACCUGAGAGGGUGAUCGGCCACACUGGGACUGAGACACGGCCCAGACUCCUACGGGAGGCAGCAGUAGGGAAUCUUCGGCAAUGGGGGCAACCCUGACCGAGCAACGCCGCGUGAGUGAAGAAGGUUUUCGGAUCGUAAAGCUCUGUUGUAAGUCAAGAACGAGUGUGAGAGUGGAAAGUUCACACUGUGACGGUAGCUUACCAGAAAGGGACGGCUAACUACGUGCCAGCAGCCGCGGUAAUACGUAGGUCCCGAGCGUUGUCCGGAUUUAUUGGGCGUAAAGCGAGCGCAGGCGGUUUGAUAAGUCUGAAGUUAAAGGCUGUGGCUCAACCAUAGUUCGCUUUGGAAACUGUCAAACUUGAGUGCAGAAGGGGAGAGUGGAAUUCCAUGUGUAGCGGUGAAAUGCGUAGAUAUAUGGAGGAACACCGGUGGCGAAAGCGGCUCUCUGGUCUGUAACUGACGCUGAGGCUCGAAAGCGUGGGGAGCGAACAGGAUUAGAUACCCUGGUAGUCCACGCCGUAAACGAUGAGUGCUAGGUGUUGGAUCCUUUCCGGGAUUCAGUGCCGCAGCUAACGCAUUAAGCACUCCGCCUGGGGAGUACGACCGCAAGGUUGAAACUCAAAGGAAUUGACGGGGGCCCGCACAAGCGGUGGAGCAUGUGGUUUAAUUCGAAGCAACGCGAAGAACCUUACCAGGUCUUGACAUCCCGAUGCUAUUUCUAGAGAUAGAAAGUUACUUCGGUACAUCGGUGACAGGUGGUGCAUGGUUGUCGUCAGCUCGUGUCGUGAGAUGUUGGGUUAAGUCCCGCAACGAGCGCAACCCCUAUUGUUAGUUGCCAUCAUUCAGUUGGGCACUCUAGCGAGACUGCCGGUAAUAAACCGGAGGAAGGUGGGGAUGACGUCAAAUCAUCAUGCCCCUUAUGACCUGGGCUACACACGUGCUACAAUGGUUGGUACAACGAGUUGCGAGUCGGUGACGGCAAGCUAAUCUCUUAAAGCCAAUCUCAGUUCGGAUUGUAGGCUGCAACUCGCCUACAUGAAGUCGGAAUCGCUAGUAAUCGCGGAUCAGCACGCCGCGGUGAAUACGUUCCCGGGCCUUGUACACACCGCCCGUCACACCACGAGAGUUUGUAACACCCGAAGUCGGUGAGGUAACCUUUUGGAGCCAGCCGCCUAAG